UGGGGAAUAUUGCACAAUGGGCGAAAGCCUGAUGCAGCAACGCCGCGUGAGUGAUGAAGGUCUUCGGAUUGUAAAGCUCUGUCUUUUGGGACGAUAAUGACGGUACCAAAGGAGGAAGCCACGGCUAACUACGUGCCAGCAGCCGCGGUAAUACGUAGGUGGCGAGCGUUGUCCGGAUUUACUGGGCGUAAAGGGUGCGUAGGCGGAUGUUUAAGUGAGAUGUGAAAUACCCGGGCUUAACUUGGGUGCUGCAUUUCAAACUGGAUAUCUAGAGUGCAGGAGAGGGGAAUGGAAUUCCUAGUGUAGCGGUGAAAUGCGUAGAGAUUAGGAAGAACACCAGUGGCGAAGGCGAUUCUCUGGACUGUAACUGACGCUGAGGCACGAAAGCGUGGGUAGCAAACAGGAUUAGAUACCCUGGUAGUCCACGCCGUAAACGAUGAGUACUAGGUGUAGGAGGUAUCGACCCCUUCUGUGCCGCAGUAAACACAUUAAGUACUCCGCCCGGGAAGUACGAUCGCAAGAUUAAAACUCUAAAGUGAAUUGAC
RNAcentral lists this ribosomal RNA (545 nucleotides) under uncultured bacterium. RNAcentral's name for it is "partial 16S ribosomal RNA". It matches the Rfam family "Bacterial small subunit ribosomal RNA", at positions 355 to 914 of the family's 1533-position model. The record is from RNAcentral.